RNAcentral lists this ribosomal RNA (228 nucleotides) under uncultured bacterium. Its description in RNAcentral is "partial 16S ribosomal RNA". It matches the Rfam family "Bacterial small subunit ribosomal RNA", at positions 568 to 795 of the family's 1533-position model. The record is from RNAcentral.
UGCGUAGGCGGAUUAAUAAGUCAGUGGUGAAAUCUCUCGGCUCAACCGGGAAACUGCCAUUGAUACUGUUAAUCUUGAGUUCGGUUGAGGUAGGCGGAAUGUGUAAUGUAGCGGUGAAAUGCUUAGAUAUUACACAGAACACCAAUUGCGUAGGCAGCUUACUAGACCGACACUGACGCUGAGGCACGAAAGCGUGGGUAGCGAACAGGAUUAGAUACCCUGGUAGUC